RNAcentral lists this ribosomal RNA (496 nucleotides) under uncultured bacterium. RNAcentral describes it as "partial 16S ribosomal RNA". It matches the Rfam family "Bacterial small subunit ribosomal RNA", at positions 29 to 507 of the family's 1533-position model. The record is from RNAcentral.
AUGCACGCUGGCGGCGUGCCUCAUACCUGCAAGUCGCGCGCACAGACGAGGAGCUUGCUCCUCUGACGUUAGCGGCGGACGGGUGAGUAACACGUGGAUAACCUACCUAUAAGACUGGGAUAACUUCGGGAAACCGGAGCUAAUACCGGAUAAUAUAUUGAACCGCAUGGUUCAAUAGUGAAAGACGGUUUUGCUGUCACUUAUAGAUGGAUCCGCGCCGCAUUAGCUAGUUGGUAAGGUAACGGCUUACCAAGGCGACGAUGCGUAGCCGACCUGAGAGGGGGAUCGGCCACACUGGAACUGAGACACGGUCCAGACUCCUACGGGAGGCAGCAGUAGGGAAUCUUCCGCAAUGGGCGAAAGCCUGACGGAGCAACGCCGCGUGAGUGAUGAAGGUCUUCGGAUCGUAAAAAUCUGUUAUUAGGGAAGAACAAAUGUGUAAGUAACUAUGCACGUCUUGACGGUACCUAAUCAGAAAGCCACGGCUAACUACGUG